UACGGGGGGAGCAAGCGUUGUUCGGAUUUACUGGGCGUAAAGGGCGCGUAGGCGGUCGUGACAAGUCACUUGUGAAAUCUCCGGGCUUAACUCGGAACGGUCAAGUGAUACUGUCGGACUAGAGUACAGAAGGGGCAACUGGAAUUCUCGGUGUAGCGGUGAAAUGCGUAGAUAUCAGGAGGAACACCGGUGGCGAAGGCGGCCCUCUGGACGGUGACUGACGCUGAGACGCGAAAGCGUGGGGAGCAAACAGG
RNAcentral lists this ribosomal RNA (254 nucleotides) under uncultured bacterium. Its description in RNAcentral is "partial 16S ribosomal RNA". It matches the Rfam family "Bacterial small subunit ribosomal RNA", at positions 524 to 776 of the family's 1533-position model. The record is from RNAcentral.